Molecule: ribosomal RNA, 270 nt
Filed under: uncultured bacterium
Lineage: Bacteria
Description: partial 16S ribosomal RNA
Rfam family: Bacterial small subunit ribosomal RNA
Source: RNAcentral
GACGAACGCUGGCGGCGUGCCUAACACAUGCAAGUCGCACGGGACUGGGGGCAACUCCAGUUCAGUGGCAGAUGGGUGCGUAACACGUGAGGAACUUGUCCGACGGCGGGGGAUAGCCGGCCCAACGGCCGGGUAAUACCGCGUACGCUCAUUUGGGGACAUCCCUGGGUGAGGAAAGCAGCCGCAAGGUUGCGCCGAUGGAGAGCCUCGCGGCGUAUCAGCUAGUUGGCGGGGUAACGGCCCACCAAGGCUACGACGCGUAGCUGGUCU